GCAGUCGAACGCUUCUUUCCUCCCGAGUGCUUGCACUCAAUUGGAAAGAGGAGUGGCGGACGGUUGAGUAACACGUGGGUAACCUACCCAUCAGAGGGGGAUAACACUUGGAAACAGGUGCUAAUACCGCAUAACAGUUUAUGCCGCAUGGCAUAAGAGUGAAAGGCGCUUUCGGGUGUCGCUGAUGGAUGGACCCGCGGUGCAUUAGCUAGUUGGUGAGGUAACGGCUCACCAAGGCCACGAUGCAUAGCCGACCUGAGAGGGUGACCGGCCACACUGGGACUGAGACACGAUCCAAACUCCAACGGGAGGCAGCAGUAGGGAAUCUUCGGCAAUGGACGAAAGUCUGACCGAGCAACGCCGCGUGAGUGAAGAAGGUUUUCGGAUCGUAAAACUCUGUUGUUAGAGAAGAACAAGGACGUUAGUAACUGAACGUCCCCUGACGGUAUCUAACCAGAAAGCCACGGCUAACUACGUGCCAGCAGCCGCGGUAAUACGUAGGUGGCAAGCGUUGUCCGGAUUUAUUGGGCGUAAAGCGAGCGCAGGCGGUUUCUUAAGUCUGAUGUGAAAGCCCCCGGCUCAACCGGGGAGGGUCAUUGGAAACUGGGAGACUUGAGUGCAGAAGAGGAGAGUGGAAUUCCAUGUGUAGCGGUGAAAUGCGUAGAUAUAUGGAGGAACACCAGUGGCGAAGGCGGCUCUCUGGUCUGUAACUGACGCUGAGGCUCGAAAGCGUGGGGAGCAAACAGGAUUAGAUACCCUGGUAGUCCACGCCGUAAACGAUGAGUGCUAAGUGUUGGAGGGUUUCCGCCCUUCAGUGCUGCAGCAAACGCAUUAAG
Molecule: ribosomal RNA, 836 nt
Filed under: Enterococcus faecalis
Lineage: Bacteria; Bacillati; Bacillota; Bacilli; Lactobacillales; Enterococcaceae
Description: bacterial SSU rRNA
Rfam family: Bacterial small subunit ribosomal RNA
Source: RNAcentral